RNAcentral lists this long non-coding RNA (256 nucleotides) under Elaeis guineensis (African oil palm). Its description in RNAcentral is "long non-coding RNA (EGUI_LNC025350)". The record is from RNAcentral. Lineage: Eukaryota; Viridiplantae; Streptophyta; Magnoliopsida; Arecales; Arecaceae.
CUGUGUGCUCCUGGUUUCCAUCCACCAAGGAGAUUGAGAUGAGAUCCUCGACUAAUUCUCUCCGCUCUUCGACUAGCUCAUCGCGGGUGUCCAACCCUUCAAUUGAGUAUGGCUCGAUGGGUCUGACUCCUUGAAGAGUGAUAUUGUAACAGUGAUGCAUCAAAUCCUGAUCUCCACGGACUUCUCUGACUCCACAUGCUGUUGAAAAUUUUAUCUUCAGGUGGUAUGUGGUUACAACAACCCGGAGUGCAUUCAG